Molecule: long non-coding RNA, 458 nt
Organism: Daucus carota subsp. sativus
Lineage: Eukaryota; Viridiplantae; Streptophyta; Magnoliopsida; Apiales; Apiaceae
Exons: 3
Source: RefSeq, a predicted model, not a curated record
AACUAACAAUUAGGUCAAGUCGUCGAGACUCAAGUUCACUUUCACCAAAAACUGCUGAAUCAUUGAUUUGCUGCCAAGACUGGUUAAGAACUAGUGAAAAUAUGACUGAUCUUAGUGGAGAACCAGAGGAAUAUUUAAAACUGGAAAAACUCGAAGAUGAUGAGCUUAAAGUUGAAGUAAUGUUUCAAAAGUUGGACAUCGAUGAUUAAUGAAAAUCAGUAAAUCUCUGUCCAUGUUCACUUUCAAUUUUCUUUAUUAACUAGGUCGCAUAGGCUACUGGCUUCUCUCUUUUGGCAAUGGAUUUGCGGAAGACUUUUCUACAGGCCAUGUAGUAUGAUAAUUUGUUUAUGUCAUUUUGUAAAAGACUAUUUUGAUUAUCAUCUGUAGAAGUUUAAACAGAGAAUGUACUUUUGUUAUUUGGUGUUGAAACUUCAAAUUCACCACUGUAUUUAUUUUAA